This 503-nucleotide ribosomal RNA is filed under the name uncultured bacterium. RNAcentral describes it as "partial 16S ribosomal RNA". It matches the Rfam family "Bacterial small subunit ribosomal RNA", at positions 30 to 523 of the family's 1533-position model. The record is from RNAcentral.
AUUGAACGCUGGCGGCAGGCUUAACACAUGCAAGUCGAGCGGGGUGAUGGUGCUUGCACUAUCACUUAGCGGCGGACGGGUGAGUAAUGCUUAGGAAUCUGCCUAUUAGUGGGGGACAACAUCUCGAAAGGGAUGCUAAUACCGCAUACGUCCUACGGGAGAAAGCAGGGGUACACUUAUGACCUUGCGCUAAUACAUGAGCCUAAGUCGGAUUUGCUAGUUGGUGGGGUAAAGGCCUACCAAGGCGACGAUCUGUAGCGGGUCUGAGAGGAUGAUCCGCCACACUGGGACUGAGACACGGCCCAGACUCCUACGGGAGGCAGCAGUGGGGAAUAUUGGACAAUGGGGGGAACCCUGAUCCAGCCAUGCCGCGUGUGUGAAGAAGGCCUUAUGGUUGUAAAGCACUUUAAGCGAGGAGGAGGCUCUUUUGGUUAAUACCCAAGAUGAGUGGACGUUACUCGCAGAAUAAGCACCGGCUAACUCUGUGCCAGCAGCCGCGGUAA